GAGGAGAUUUGGAUGUCUUGGGAGGGGCAACAGCUGGAACCAUGCAUGGUUUCCCUUCCAAGAUCAUCAACAUGUUGAAUCUAGGGAACGGAACUACAUUGUACUGCCGAAGGAAUUCCAUACCUAGAACAAUGGUGAAAUCGUCUAUUGUUGCCACCGAGAAGUCCACCUUGCCUAACCAGUCGCCAAGCUUCAACUCGGUCCCUGUUUCUACGCCAUCUACGGGUUUGGCCUGGGCAUUUACGGUCUUGAGCCAACCCUUGGAGUAUGUCACCUUGAGACCCAACCGUUCCGCCUCGGUUGGAGUCAUGAAAUUAUGAGUG
This 323-nucleotide long non-coding RNA is filed under the name Nicotiana benthamiana. RNAcentral describes it as "long non-coding RNA (NBEN_LNC003312)". The record is from RNAcentral. Lineage: Eukaryota; Viridiplantae; Streptophyta; Magnoliopsida; Solanales; Solanaceae.